UAUAUAAUAAUUACUGAUGUGUAUUUAUUUACAUGUUUGGUGUCACACUUUCGGUAUCUACAUAUAUGGUGGCAGUUGACUAAAAGUACACAUGGUUUUCUCUGACAGGAAACCACAUGUCUGGGUCUGAAUCACAUGGUGGAACUUUACUGUCCAUGUCUACACAAGUAUCUAGAAUGUGGUUGUGGUGAUUCAUCACUUUACUAUCUUGAUUUGCCUUGUUGUGUCGGCGUGGGUCAUCCGACUCGGGCGAGGUUACGAUAAGGACAACAGGUAUCGGGCAAAGAUCCAGAGCAUUGAACGAGACCGAAUUAUCUACCAGAGUACGUCCCCACCAAUAGACACAACCGAUCACCCCAACCAGCUACCCAGUGUUCCUGGUGUCUUGUCGGGCUACUCGCAGUCUACAACACUGUGGUGAUAAAAGUGGCUAUCCAACGUCUUCAACACUUAAGUGAUCAGAGGAUAAGGUCACCUCUUGGCAGAAUUGUAUUGUGGGAACAGUUGUUUGAGAGUCUUGACCAUCAUUUAACAGGGUAGUUACGUUCCUGAAAAUGCCGUGUUAGAUGAACUGGAGAACUUAUGGAAGAAUAGGGUUACAUUCCUGGGAGCCUCAAACAAUUUUUUUUAGGCCUCCA
Molecule: non-coding RNA, 638 nt
Organism: Cherax quadricarinatus
Lineage: Eukaryota; Metazoa; Arthropoda; Malacostraca; Decapoda; Parastacidae
Source: RefSeq, a predicted model, not a curated record